UUGCUUGGGCAGCACACACACUAAAAUUGGAACGAUACAGAGAAGAUAAACAUGCCCCCCAUGCAAGGAUGACAUGCAAAUUUGUGAAGCGUUCCAUAUUUAA
RNAcentral lists this small nuclear RNA (103 nucleotides) under Zalophus californianus (California sea lion). The record is from RNAcentral. Lineage: Eukaryota; Metazoa; Chordata; Mammalia; Carnivora; Otariidae.